Molecule: ribosomal RNA, 254 nt
Filed under: uncultured bacterium
Lineage: Bacteria
Description: partial 16S ribosomal RNA
Rfam family: Bacterial small subunit ribosomal RNA
Source: RNAcentral
GACGUAGGGGGCGAGCGUUGUCCGGAUUCAUUGGGCGUAAAGCGCACGCAGGCGGCUUAGUAAGUCGGGUGUGAAAACUCCAGGCUCAACCUGGAGACGCCACUCGAUACUGCUAUAGCUAGAGUCCGGUAGGGGCCCGUGGAAUGUCUGGUGUAGCGGUGAAAUGCGCAGAUAUCAGACGGAACACCAGUGGCGAAGGCGGCGGGCUGGGCCGGAACUGACGCUCAUGUGCGAAAGCGUGGGUAGCAAACAGG